RNAcentral lists this ribosomal RNA (424 nucleotides) under uncultured bacterium. Its description in RNAcentral is "bacterial SSU rRNA". It matches the Rfam family "Bacterial small subunit ribosomal RNA", at positions 358 to 773 of the family's 1533-position model. The record is from RNAcentral.
GGAAUUUUGCGCAAUGGGCGAAAGCCUGACGCAGCAACGCCGCGUGAGGGAUGAAGGCCUUCGGGUCGUAAACCUCUGUCGGGAGGGACGAACGGUCUGCGGGUGAACAAUCCGCGGAAUUGACGGUACCCCCAAAGGAAGCGCCGGACAACUCCGUGCGAGCCGCCGCGGUAAUACGGAGGGCGCAAGCGUUGUUCGGAAUUACUGGGCGUAAAGCGCGUGUAGGCGGCCAGGUAAGUCGGGUGUGAAAUCCCGGGGCCCAACCCCGGAACUGCGCCCGAAGCUGCCAGGCUGGAGUCCCGGAGAGGAAGGCGGAAUUCCCGGUGUAGAGGUGAAAUUCGUAGAUAUCGGGAGGAACACCAGCGGCGAAGGCGGCCUUCUGGACGGUGACUGACGCUGAGACGCGAAAGCGUGGGGAGCAAAC